UAGACUCAGCGGGAAGUCUGGGAUGAGAGGGAGUAGCUGGAGGAGGACAGGCAGAGUGUCAUGGAGGACUGAGUUGGGGUUUGAGUAAUAGGGCUGGAGGACAGAGGAAAGAGGCAUGAAACUGAGGAGGGCUAAAGAGACAACAGGAAACAGGGAAGCAUCUGUGGAGAGGUGUCAGAGGAGAGGUGACCAAAGGCCUGGGAGAAUGGAAGGCUGAGGAGAAGGGCACAUACGUGAGGAGGGCAAAACACCAGAAGGAUGUGAGAGGAAGGAGGUUCUGUAGGAGAGGAAGACGACUGAGCAGAUGAGUUAUUUGGAUCCUGAGGACAGCAGGAGAAGGGCAAAUGGAGGGUGAGGAGGGAAGGAGGUUCUGGGAAAGUAAUGGCACUGUGGGA
This 395-nucleotide long non-coding RNA is filed under the name Rattus norvegicus (Norway rat). RNAcentral's name for it is "long non-coding RNA NONRATT030607". The record is from RNAcentral. Lineage: Eukaryota; Metazoa; Chordata; Mammalia; Rodentia; Muridae.